AUGCAGACCCCCUCAGAUCACCCUGUCCCUCUUCUGAUUGAAGAUUUGCCUCAGUAUCACUUGGGGGCCUACUCCAACAGUAAGAUAGAUGUCAGAGCCAAAUGUCAACUUGAAAUCUGGAUGGAAAUGGCUCCCUCCAAGCCUGAACUUCAGGGGAAGGCUCAGCAGUCACAGCCACCAGUGUUUCCUCUCAGCUACCAACGCUGCUCAGAGGGGGAAGUGCUGCUGCUGCCUGGAGGGGUGCAGCCCUGAAGGUUACGGAAGACGUGGGCAGAGAAUGUGGAAAAUCACCCAGAGAUUGCUGCUCACACUUCAUGUCUUCAGAGCAUCACCUCUCAUUUUAUAGCUGGAGAGAUGGGGCGCACAGCCAGGGAAAGCCAGGAACAGGUUCCGGCUUCCAUCACUCAGAUACUCAGGAAUCCCUGGUUCUCGAGGCUGGAAAGUCCGAGAUCAAGGUGCCUGCAUCUGGUGUCUAGUGCGGUCCCUAUUCCUGGUUUGCAGUUCCUCAUUGUUAUUGUCUCAGAUCACCAAAAAGGGGACAGGGAGAAGGAGUGGAAGCAAGGAAAAAUAAGGGAGAGAAAUUCACUGGACCCCAUUGUUUACAGUGUGGUCUUGGCUCCGGUGCGUCGAGGACCCAUCUAUAGCAGGAAUUCCCAAACCUGAACAUGGUGACUCCCACCAGAUUGAGUCACUCCUGGAUGUUCUGAUAGGAGCGUUUUGAGGAAUCCCCCACACAGCCCCACCUCACCUCCAAGAGGCUGGAGACCCCACAGGUGGGCACGGUGUUGGUGGCCAGCACAUUGGUGGCCGUGGCCGGUGGGUGAGCAAGGAGACUGGUUCAGUAAGUGGACCUCAUGCCUGGUGGGUGCCGCCCAUGGCACUGGGAACUUCCUUGCUCCUUUUGGUGCUGUUGGCACAGCCUUUCCAGAGCAGUGAAUGAAUGCCAGUCUCCUCCCACACCCCUCCAGGAACGCAGACCAACACAGCUGCUCUAUUAAAUGUGUGCACUUCUUAUUCUGAGUAUGUCUGAGUCUCUGAUGAGCUCUAUUUAUUGCAGCCCUCAGCCCUGUAAAGAGGAGGAUGGUUCCAAAGAGCCCUGAAUGCAGGCGGUUUUACAAAAUCAGCCUCUCACUUCUUUGUAUAUACUUUCUUGUCACAGGAACAGCCUUAAUUUUGAUGUUUAUUUUGAACUACGAAAUAUAAGAUGAAUGAGUGUAUGUAUGUGUGUGUAUGAGUGAGAGAGAGAAAGACAGAGAGAGAGAUUGGCUGGAUAGACUGAAAUGCUUAAGGCAGGGAUGGAAGAUGAAGACUGAGAAAAUGUGUGGCUGUGGUAGAAUCAGAAACUUUAAUAUGUGCUUUGAAACCAGACCUGAAAGUGAGGUCACAUCACUCUGCUCUUGUUCAGCCUUGCUCAGUGGCCUGAUGCAAGCCAAAAACCCACAGGAGGGGAACUCCACUCAGUCUCUCUCCUGAGAGAAACUCUGGAGGGGUAUCACAUUUUGAGAGCAAGGAGGAGGUUUGGAAUCAAGUGUACAGAAGCUCUGUUUGUCCUGGAGGCUCUUAAAGGCUCCAGGAGAACUUUUUGGGUGCUGCUUUAUAUUAAUAAAACCAGCAUGGCUGAAAGAAAACAUAUUCAAAAAGUAGAAUCUGGUGCCACUGCACAUCUUGUACGUCAGGAAGAAUCCCAUGUUCCUGGACCCCCACCCCUGGUGUAGCGGACUUGGAAGACUGGAGAAGACCAUGAAGCUACAUUUACAGGGUGUUAUAGAGCCAGAAGAUACUUUAAUAAUCUAGGCUAGGGCCCAGUGCUGUGGCUUCUGCCUGUAAUCCUAGCACUUUUAGGGGCCAAGGUGGGAGGGUUGCU
Chlorocebus sabaeus (green monkey) is the source of this 1864-nucleotide non-coding RNA. The record is from RefSeq and is a predicted model, not a curated record. Lineage: Eukaryota; Metazoa; Chordata; Mammalia; Primates; Cercopithecidae.